Molecule: ribosomal RNA, 258 nt
Filed under: uncultured bacterium
Lineage: Bacteria
Description: partial 16S ribosomal RNA
Rfam family: Bacterial small subunit ribosomal RNA
Source: RNAcentral
GUCCACGCCUUAACGAUGAGAGCUAGUUGUCAGUAAGCAUGCUUAUUGGUGACGCAGCUAACGCAUUAAGCUCUCCGCCUGGGGAGUACGGCCGCAAGGUUAAACUCAAAGAAAUUGACGGGGCCCGCACAAGCGGUGGAGCAUGUGGUUUAAUUCGAAGCAACGCGCAGAACCUUACCCACCUUUGACAUCCCGUGCUACCUAGAGAGAUCUAGGGGUCCCUUCGGGGCGCGGAGACAGGUGCUGCAUGGCUGUCGU